CGCCAGACUCCUACGGGAGGCAGCAGUGGGGGAUAUUGCACAAUGGGGGGAACCCUGAUGCAGCGACGCCGCGUGGGUGAAGAAGCGCCUCGGCGCGUAAAGCCCUGUCAGCAGGGAAGAAAAUGACGGUACCUGAAGAAGAAGCACCGGCUAAAUACGUGCCAGCAGCCGCGGUAAUACGUAUGGUGCAAGCGUUAUCCGGAUUUACUGGGUGUAAAGGGAGCGCAGGCGGUUCUGCAAGUCUGAUGUGAAAGCCCGGGGCUCAACCGCGGGACUGCAUUGGGAACUGCGGGACUGGAGUGUCGGAGGGGUAAGCGGAAUUCCUGGUGUAGCGGUGAAAUGCGUAGAUAUCAGGAGGAACACCGGUGGCGAAGGCGGCUUACUGGACGAUGACUGACGCUGAGGCUCGAAAGCGUGGGGAGCAAACAGGAUUAGAUACCCUGGUA
This 446-nucleotide ribosomal RNA is filed under the name uncultured bacterium. RNAcentral's name for it is "partial 16S ribosomal RNA". It matches the Rfam family "Bacterial small subunit ribosomal RNA", at positions 329 to 792 of the family's 1533-position model. The record is from RNAcentral.